GUGUCAGCCGCCGCGGUAAGACAGAGGGUGCAAACGUUGCUCGGAAUCACUGGGCGUAAAGGGCGUGUGGGCGGGCAGAUAAGUCGGGCGUGAAAUCACCAGGCUCAACCUGGGAACUGCACUCGAAACUGUUUGUCUUGAGUAUCGGAGAGGAAAGCGGAAUACCUGGUGUAGAGGUGAAAUUCGUAGAUAUCAGGUGGAACACCAGUGGCGAAGGCGGCUUUCUGGACGAUAACUGACGCUGAGACGCGAAAGCGUGGGGAGCAAACAGGAUUAGAUACCCCGGUAGUCC
This 292-nucleotide ribosomal RNA is filed under the name uncultured bacterium. RNAcentral's name for it is "partial 16S ribosomal RNA". It matches the Rfam family "Bacterial small subunit ribosomal RNA", at positions 505 to 796 of the family's 1533-position model. The record is from RNAcentral.